Molecule: long non-coding RNA, 1279 nt
Organism: Ictalurus punctatus (channel catfish)
Lineage: Eukaryota; Metazoa; Chordata; Actinopteri; Siluriformes; Ictaluridae
Exons: 2
Source: RefSeq, a predicted model, not a curated record
GUUUAAAGCGAAAUGGCAGCUCACGCGCGCACUGUACGAAAAUGACGCCGUUACCUGCAUGUAAUCAGUCAAUCAGCAUGAAAAGCGUUCAUUAGGAAUUCAUUAAGAAGAGAUAAACAGUUGCCGAGCACACAUCAUACAGCACAUGCUCCAUAAAUCCUGGGGCAACUGUCUCUCCCACCUGUUACAUUUCUCUCCUCUUCACUCACCUGUACACAGGCUUAAAAAUGAAAUGUAAAGUUUGAAAAUGUGUUUCACUACAACAGGCCUGGUAAAGUUUCACCCAGCUUCCUGCCCAUCUGGCAUAAUCAGGGAUAAAGAAAAAAAUAAUCACGACUACAAGCUGCACAUAAUCCCUGAUUUAUCAGGGAUGAACAAAACGAAAGCAAAAUGAUAAUUCUGUACUGUACUUGACUUACUGAAUCUCAGUGCAGUCAUAGGAUUUAAAAUCUCUUCAUGUUUGAAGCACAUUGCAACACAGAGGCUGCUGACAGAUGUGCACAGUUAUGUCUUUGUUAGUGUUUGACCACACCAAUGUAUUGAGCUAACCAAGGGAUGGAAUAUUCUCUUCAUUGCCAACUUCAAUACAAAGCUUCUUUAAUUGUACAAGUAGACAUGAUGAUGAUUCAUACCCAGGAGUAAUAAUGAUUAUUAAAGAUGUACUCUGUAAGACCAUAAAUGGCAGAUCAAUUACAUGUGGUAUACAUCUGCUGUCCCUCUUUUGGUCCAUCAAUGACAAAUACUCUCCAGAUGAGAACACGUUUUGCUUUCACUGUUCCUCGCCCUUUUACACAAUAGGCAGAAGAGGUAGAUGUGGACCUAACAGUUGACUUUUGAGCUCCUGCAUUGAAUAGGCUCUUUUUACACUCAUAUAAUCCCAGUCAUGCCCUGGGACUCGGGGCCCUGCCUCCAUGACCUCUGACCUCUACCUCUGACCUUGGCUAGAUUUCCUCCUGUACAAAACCCCCUUCCUUGUGACCAGUAAAAGAUGCCUUUUCCAAGCUGUUAAGCACAUACACUUAAAAGCUACCUUUAAAGUUAUUACAUCAGGAAUAUACAGGCUGUUGGGGUUAAUGUUGGACGAAGUGUGUAUGGUGUACGAAGUGUGUAUAGGAAUGACAGCAUUUAGAACAUGGAAUCAUGUAUUAGAAAGAAAGUCAGACUAAACUAAGACAACAACAUUAUGCAAAUCCUCAAGACCUCAAUUUAGAUUUCAUGAUAUGUAUGACAUUUUUUAUAUACAAAACCAUAAUACACUAAAAAUGUUCUUGUAUUUCAA